Molecule: transfer RNA, 72 nt
Filed under: Chloroflexota bacterium
Lineage: Bacteria; Bacillati; Chloroflexota
Description: Chloroflexi bacterium tRNA-Arg
Rfam family: tRNA
About the family: Transfer RNA (tRNA) molecules are approximately 80 nucleotides in length. Their secondary structure includes four short double-helical elements and three loops (D, anti-codon, and T loops). Further hydrogen bonds mediate the characteristic L-shaped molecular structure. tRNAs have two regions of fundamental functional importance: the anti-codon, which is responsible for specific mRNA codon recognition, and the 3' end, to which the tRNAs corresponding amino acid is attached (by aminoacyl-tRNA synthetases). tRNAs cope with the degeneracy of the genetic code in two manners: having more than one tRNA (with a specific anti-codon) for a particular amino acid; and 'wobble' base-pairing, i.e. permitting non-standard base-pairing at the 3rd anti-codon position.
Source: RNAcentral
GACCCCGUAGCUCAGCGGAAAGAGCAGUGGCCUUCGAAGCCAUGUGCGAGGGUUCAACUCCCUCCGGGGUCG